GGUAAAAUGGCUGAUUAAAGCGGUAAAUUGUAAAUUUAUAUAUGGAGAAAACUUCUUUUACCA
RNAcentral lists this transfer RNA (63 nucleotides) under Cucujoidea sp. 37 KM-2017. RNAcentral describes it as "tRNA-Tyr". It matches the Rfam family "tRNA". From Rfam's summary of the family: Transfer RNA (tRNA) molecules are approximately 80 nucleotides in length. Their secondary structure includes four short double-helical elements and three loops (D, anti-codon, and T loops). Lineage: Eukaryota; Metazoa; Arthropoda; Insecta; Coleoptera. The record is from RNAcentral.